AAUAAGAGCUGGGCAAGACCGGUGCCAGCCGCCGCGGUAACACCGGCAGCUCUAGUGGUAGCUGUUUUUAUUGGGCCUAAAGCGUUCGUAGCCGGUUUGAUAAGUCACUGGUGAAAUCCUGUAGCUUAACUGUGGGAAUUCGCUGGUGAUACUGUUGAACUUGAGGUCGGGAGAGGUUAGCGGUACUCCCAGGGUAGAGGUGAAAUUCUGUAAUCCUGGGAGGACCACCUGUGGCGAAGGCGGCUAACUGGAACGAACCUGACGGUGAGGGACGAAAGCUAGGGGCGCGAACCGGAUUAGAUACCCGGGUAGUCCUAGCCGUAAACGAUGCGGACUUGGUGUUGGGAUGGCUUUGAGCCGCUCCGGUGCCGAAGGGAAGCUGUUAAGUCCGCCGCCUGGGA
This 401-nucleotide ribosomal RNA is filed under the name uncultured archaeon. RNAcentral's name for it is "bacterial SSU rRNA". It matches the Rfam family "Archaeal small subunit ribosomal RNA", at positions 434 to 833 of the family's 1478-position model. The record is from RNAcentral.